AUGCUCACGCUUCACAAUCUCCUGCAACGGCUCAAUCCAAAGCUACAACGGUCAUCGACUCAAUCCAAAGCUACAACGGUCAUCUCCCUCCUCUCGUCAGAUAUAAAAUGCUUGCAGCUAGCAGCUUCCUCACUACUCCAUAUCAUACCGUCAAGAACAUUUCAUACCACCCAUUCAGAACAGCUUCCUCCCUUGUACAUGGUUCUCAUUGCCAUGUCUAGCUCAACCCAUCCCAUGUCAAGCUCCAGCUCCCCCCUUGUUUCUCUUGAGGAGCAGCCACCACUUCCACUCAUGAUCUGCCCUUUCUGCAACAAUGGUAUGGUUUAG
RNAcentral lists this ribosomal RNA (327 nucleotides) under Triticum aestivum (bread wheat). RNAcentral describes it as "partial small subunit ribosomal RNA". The record is from RNAcentral. Lineage: Eukaryota; Viridiplantae; Streptophyta; Magnoliopsida; Poales; Poaceae.